Molecule: long non-coding RNA, 1377 nt
Organism: Notothenia coriiceps (black rockcod)
Lineage: Eukaryota; Metazoa; Chordata; Actinopteri; Perciformes; Nototheniidae
Exons: 2
Source: RefSeq, a predicted model, not a curated record
CUUUACCUCUGCAUCCCUGUCUGCAUUUGGGUCCUACAUACUAAGUGCCUGGAUUCGUAACACUAUACAAGGUUUCGCCUCCUUUGGAAACUUCUCUUAGCUCAUCCAUUUGGCAGCCCUUUCCUUCAUCCCCUGUCACAAUACAUCUCCAGGAGCCGUGGAAGAGCUGCUGUCUUCAGAUAUGUGAGCGGAGAAUCGCAGAGUGAAAGGGGAAAGGAUGAGCCUAUAGACCAGAUGCCAACCAGUCUGGAGGAUUCUCAUUCAAGGCGGCCAAUUUAGUUUACAGACACUGAGACAGAGACAAAGCCCUUCUCAAGGCAGGGGUACCCACUGUAUCAUUGUGAUAAGAUGCAAGAUUCACAACCCUAGUGAUGAUGUAGGCCUGUCACUGGUAUAUGCUUGAUCGCAGCAAAUCUCCUCUUGGUUUCAUGUCACAUUUGGAUCGGACAUUUUUUAGAAGAACACUUGGAUUUAUUUUAUUAUAAGCUGUUACAUGUCAUAUGCACAACCAGGAUUCAUGUUGUUUCCUCUCCCUUGUAACCCUUAAGCUAAGUGGUCAUGAAAACAUGAGGAUGAUGACUUAUACUACACGCAAUGCCAGCAUGUGGCCAUUUGACCUUCAGUUUAACUCCUUUUGAAACUGUAUCACCAAAACCUGUUCACUAAGAAUUACAGCUGAUCUGGAUUAAGCCAAUGUAAUCUAAAUAAACUCUUCAUCCACAGGACACACUCACAUUUCCCUAGGGACUUAACUUUUUGAAAUGUAGGUGUUCAGCAUCAACAAUAACACUUUAAGCUGAAUGUCAUUCCAACAAUCCGUUUUUUUGUAUUGCAAUUAAUCUGCAGUAAGAAAUUAGAAAUUUAUAUAGAGUAUGUUGUAGACAUAUUAAUCUACGUACACAGUACCAGUACCUUAGUCUUUAUUAAUGGAAUGGAUCCAGAGGACACAGAAUAUGAUAAUCACCGACUGUCGAUGCUUUAUUAAGCAAUAACUUAAAUGAUAAAAGGUGGAGAUGAGCAGCACUGUGUGGGAUAGAAAAAUUGAGAUUGGUGUCUGCUGAGAGAAAUAUAAAUUGUAUCUGUUACUGUGCAGCAUUUGCCAGCCUCAUGGCUUCUGCCCUUUGUGUGUGCUACUGUAUACUGUAUAUCAUCUCUCGCACACAAAUACUAAGUAUAAAGGACAAGGCUUUGUUUUGUUCAACCCACUGUCUGUCCCUGGUGUGACACUUUGAUUUCAAAUGCUCAGAAAUUAGAAUACUAUGACAGCUACCCAGAUGUAAGAUUCCCAGAGCAACUCGAGCAAGCACCUUUGAAGUCACAGCAGAAGACAGCUAUGUAGGAUGAAGACGUUUCUGUCUCUUAAAUAGAUAAACUCAA